ACUGCCCCUCAAGGUGUUGCAGGUGUGGCUGCCAUGUCCCUUCUGUGUCAUUAGGUGGCAGAGAGAGAGGUUUGCCUACGCCCACCAUCCUGGCCUUGGACAUCUGGAUGGUUGACAGCCUGACACU
Molecule: small nucleolar RNA, 127 nt
Filed under: Myotis davidii
Lineage: Eukaryota; Metazoa; Chordata; Mammalia; Chiroptera; Vespertilionidae
Description: Small nucleolar RNA SNORA17
Rfam family: Small nucleolar RNA SNORA17
About the family: snoRNA ACA 17 belongs to the H/ACA family of snoRNAs and is predicted to guide pseudouridylation of the 28S rRNA at positions U4659 and U4598. It shares the same host gene together with ACA43.
Source: Rfam by way of RNAcentral